This 34-nucleotide ribosomal RNA is filed under the name Maxillaria discolor. RNAcentral describes it as "partial 26S ribosomal RNA". Lineage: Eukaryota; Viridiplantae; Streptophyta; Magnoliopsida; Asparagales; Orchidaceae. The record is from RNAcentral.
GUGACCCCAGGAUGGGCGAGGCCACCCGCCGAUU